AUAAUUUCACUUAUUCGAUUUUCCCAAUGAACACUUCGGAAUGAUAACAGAUACAUGGUGGUUCCCCACAUAGCACCACCCUUAUGAUCAAUGCUAUCCGGUACACAUAGUAGCCUACACUUAGUACUACACAUGUGACCAAUACCAUCCAGCACACGUAGUAGCCUGCACAUAGUACUACACAUGUGAUCAAAGCUAUCCAGUACACAUAGUAGCCUGCACUUAGUACUACACAUGUGACCAUAACUAUCUUAUACUCAUAGUAGCCUACACAUAGUACUACACAUGAGUUCUCAUGACGUCCUUCGUAUCCUUUCCUAUUCCGAAAGUUCAACCAGAAAAUUUCUCACUUAUUCUCACUUUGUCAAUUUCAUCCAUAGUCAAUCUCAAUUCCUAAUUUACAUCAAAUAAUCAUUUAAUAUACAACCAUAUCUCGUGUAAUAUAACAAAAUAUUAUAACAUAAGUAAAAAUGGUAUAUUAUUUACAUACAAACUUACCUCGACACCAAAAGGGCAAAAAGGGACAUAACCGUCAAUUCUCGUUUUUCCCCUAUUCUAGGUCUGAACCUCGUUUUCUUUGAUCUAUGUUAUCACAUUUAGCCUAAUUAUUAGUCACAUUAUUCAAAUUAGUCCACAAUUCAUGCUUUGACAAAAUUACGAUUCUUCCCCUAAACUUUCACAUAUUUACAAAUUAGUCCUUGGGCUCGUAAAACGAAAUUUAUGGAAUUUCAUCCACAUCAAAGACUAACCGAAUUAUUUAGGUGCUCAUAGAAGCCCAUAUAAUCCCCAAUUUCACUCAUAUAACUCAAAAUCUUCAUACUUUACAAAUUAACCCUUAAUAGCAUUUUACAACAAAAAUCACUUAACAAGAAAUGUUCAACACACAACAAGGUUUCAUUUUCCUCCAUUAAACUUCACAAUCAACUAUCAUGCUUUCAUGGCCCAAAACCCUAGCCUUUCAAUCAUCUUGCAAAUUAGUCCCCUAUUUAGCUAGCUUAAGCUUCAAGGUUUCCAAAAACAUAUAAAUCAACAAAAACAAACAUAAAUUUCACUUACAUGCAAGGGUUUAAGUUUGCUGAAAAUUUGAGUUCUCCAAUGGCUAUUCUCUUGGUGGAAAAC
This 1119-nucleotide long non-coding RNA is filed under the name Gossypium barbadense (sea-island cotton). RNAcentral's name for it is "long non-coding RNA (GBAR_LNC016565)". Lineage: Eukaryota; Viridiplantae; Streptophyta; Magnoliopsida; Malvales; Malvaceae. The record is from RNAcentral.